RNAcentral lists this long non-coding RNA (608 nucleotides) under Nicotiana benthamiana. Its description in RNAcentral is "long non-coding RNA (NBEN_LNC031742)". Lineage: Eukaryota; Viridiplantae; Streptophyta; Magnoliopsida; Solanales; Solanaceae. The record is from RNAcentral.
CCUACGUAAACUUUUCUUUCAGUCCAUUGCUCAAAUAGCACCACAACUUUGAGCUCCUCUAUUGUUGUUUUAAUGUUCUCAUUUUCUUCAGGUUCUUGAAUUAUAUCCGGUCUCGAGUCUAAAUCAGUUUUUUCUUGUUCAGUCGAAGUUUGAUUGUUGACACCUCCAACUGUUUCCUGUAAUUGCUAUUUUUCUUUACUUACGAUGCUCAUAUCUGCUACGGCAUUGAUACUCUUAGCUGCUUGUUAAUCCCCUCGAAUUUGACAUAUUCCCCAGGGCGAUGGGAACUUAAUAACGUGAUGCAAAGUUGAUUGAACAACAUUCAUAUCAUGGAUCCAUGGUCUCCCGUCAUUAUGUUGUAGGUCAUAUCUAUAUCAACUAGCAGAAAUUUAGUUUCUUUAACAAUACCUGCAGCAAAGAUUGUUAGAAUUACCUCAGCUUUGGUUACCGUGCUUAAAUUGUCAAAGGCUGACAGAGUAUGCGCCAUGAGUAUCAUUUUAUCUUCAGCUUUCAUUUCCCGCAAUACUCUUAGUAGAGUGAUGUUUGCAGAACUUCCUGGAUCAAUCAAAACUCGUUUUACAUCAGUAUCAUGUAUAAGUAAGGAAAUU